ACAAUGGGGGAAAGCCUGAUCCAGCCAUCCCGCGUGUAUGAUGAAGGCCAACGGUUUGUAAAGUACUUUUGGCAGAGAAGAAAAGGUACCUCCUAAUACGAGGUACUGCUGACGGUAUCUGCAGAAUAAGCACCGGCUAACUACGUGCCUGCAGCCGCGGUAAUACGUAGGGUGCAAGCGUUAAUCGGAAUUACUGGGCGUAAAGCGUGUGUAGGCGGUUCGGAAAAAAAGAUGUGAAAACCCAAGGCUCAUCCUUGGAACUGCAUUUUUAACUGCCGAGCUAGAGUAUGUCAGGGGGGGGUAGAAUUCCACGUGUAGCAGUGAAAUGCGUAGAUAUGUGGAGAAAUACCGAUGGGGAAGGCAGCCCCCUGGGAUAAUACUGACGCUCAGACACGAAAGCGUGGGGAGCAAACA
RNAcentral lists this ribosomal RNA (414 nucleotides) under uncultured bacterium. RNAcentral's name for it is "partial 16S ribosomal RNA". It matches the Rfam family "Bacterial small subunit ribosomal RNA", at positions 368 to 774 of the family's 1533-position model. The record is from RNAcentral.